RNAcentral lists this ribosomal RNA (262 nucleotides) under uncultured archaeon. Its description in RNAcentral is "partial 16S ribosomal RNA". It matches the Rfam family "Archaeal small subunit ribosomal RNA", at positions 748 to 1008 of the family's 1478-position model. The record is from RNAcentral.
CAGCCGUAAACUAUGCGCGUUAGGUGUACUGGUGACCACGAGUCACCGGGGUGCCGAAGGGAAACCGUGAAACGUGCCGCCUGGGAAGUACGGUCGCAAGGCUGAAACUUAAAGGAAUUGGCGGGGGGAGCACCACAACGGGUGGAGCCUGCGGUUUAAUUGGACUCAACGCCGGGAAGCUCACCGGAUAGGACAGCAGAAUGAUUGCCGGGCUGAAGACCCUGCAUGACUAGCUGAGAGGUGGUGCAUGGCGUCAGUGACU